CCUACGGGCGGCAGCAGUCGAGAAUCAUUCACAAUGGGGGAAACCCUGAUGGUGCGACGCCGCGUGGGGGAGUGAAGGUCUUCGGAUUGUAAACACCUGUCAUGUGGGAGCAAAUUAAAAAGAUAGUACCACAAGAGGAAGAGACGGCUAACUCUGUGCCAGCAGCCGCGGUAAUACAGAGGUCUCAAGCGUUGUUCGGAAUCACUGGGCGUAAAGCGUGCGUAGGCUGUUUCGUAAGUCGUGUGUGAAAGGCGCGGGCUCAACCCGCGGACGGCACAUGAUACUGCGAGACUAGAGUACUGGAGGGGGAACCGGAAUUCUCGGGGUAGCAGUGAAAUGCGUAGAUAUCGAGAGGAACACUCGUGGCGAAGGCGGGUUCCUGGACAUUAACUGACGCUGAGGCACGAAGGCCAGGGGAGCGAAAGGGAUUAGAUACCCCUGUAGUC
This 446-nucleotide ribosomal RNA is filed under the name uncultured bacterium. RNAcentral's name for it is "partial 16S ribosomal RNA". It matches the Rfam family "Bacterial small subunit ribosomal RNA", at positions 338 to 795 of the family's 1533-position model. The record is from RNAcentral.